RNAcentral lists this ribosomal RNA (468 nucleotides) under uncultured bacterium. Its description in RNAcentral is "partial 16S ribosomal RNA". It matches the Rfam family "Bacterial small subunit ribosomal RNA", at positions 28 to 507 of the family's 1533-position model. The record is from RNAcentral.
GACGAACGCUGGCGGCGUGCUUAACACAUGCAAGUCGAACGGAAAGGCCCUGCUUUUGUGGGGUGCUCGAGUGGCGAACGGGUGAGUAACACGUGAGUAACCUGCCCCUGACUUUGGGAUAACUUCAGGAAACUGGGGCUAAUAUCGGAUAGGAGCUCCUGCUGCAUGGUGGGGGUUGGAAAGAUUCGGCGGUUGGGGAUGGACUCGCGGCUUAUCGGCUUGUUGGUGGGGUAGUGGCUUACCAAGGCUUUGACGGGUAGCCGGCCUGGGAGGGUGACCGGCCACAUUGGGACUGAGAUACGGACCAGACUCCUACGGGAGGCAGCAGUGGGGAAUAUUGCACAAUGGGCGGAAGCCUGAUGCAGCAACGCCGCGUGCGGGAUGACGGCCUUCGGGUUGUAAACCGCUUUCGCCUGUGACGAAGCGUGAGUGACGGUAAUGGGUAAAGAAGCACCGGCUAACUACGUG